This 242-nucleotide ribosomal RNA is filed under the name Sphingobacterium kyonggiense. Its description in RNAcentral is "partial 16S ribosomal RNA". It matches the Rfam family "Bacterial small subunit ribosomal RNA", at positions 519 to 759 of the family's 1533-position model. Lineage: Bacteria; Pseudomonadati; Bacteroidota; Sphingobacteriia; Sphingobacteriales; Sphingobacteriaceae. The record is from RNAcentral.
GGUAAUACGGAGGAUCCAAGCGUUAUCCGGAUUUAUUGGGUUUAAAGGGUGCGUAGGCGGUCUUUUAAGUCAGGGGUGAAAUACGGCAGCUCAACUGUCGCAGUGCCCUUGAUACUGAAGGACUUGAAUAUGGUUGAGGUAUGCGGAAUGAGACAAGUAGCGGUGAAAUGCAUAGAUAUGUCUCAGAACACCGAUUGCGAAGGCAGCAUCCCCAAGCCAUCAUUGACGCUGAUGCACGAAAG